CGCGUAGGAAUCUGCCCAAAAGUGGGGAGUAACUUAGGGAAACCGAACGACUAAUACCGCAUAUACCUAAGGGUGAAGGUGGGGAGUCUUCGGACCUACCGCUUUUGGUAGGAGCCUGCGUCGGAUUAGCUAGUUGGUGGGGUAAAGGGCCCACCAAGGCGACGAUCCGUAGCUGGUCUGAGAGGAUGGCCAGCCACACUGGGGACUGAGACACGGCCCAGACUCCUACGGGGAGGCAGCAGUGGGGAAUAUUGGACAAUGGGCGCAAGCCUGAUCCAGCCAUGCCGCGUGUGUGAAGAA
RNAcentral lists this ribosomal RNA (300 nucleotides) under uncultured Gammaproteobacteria bacterium. RNAcentral describes it as "bacterial SSU rRNA". It matches the Rfam family "Bacterial small subunit ribosomal RNA", at positions 114 to 412 of the family's 1533-position model. The record is from RNAcentral. Lineage: Bacteria; Pseudomonadati; Pseudomonadota; Gammaproteobacteria.